Dalotia coriaria is the source of this 455-nucleotide long non-coding RNA. RefSeq lists it as uncharacterized. The record is from RefSeq and is a predicted model, not a curated record. Lineage: Eukaryota; Metazoa; Arthropoda; Insecta; Coleoptera; Staphylinidae. The transcript has 3 exons.
AAAUUAGUGUUAAUAUAGGUGUUUGGUUUUUUUACUAUUUAAUUAUCGCGUGUGUAAUUUUCGUAAUUGUAAAUUUUGCGUGUUUAGUUUAUUCGCUUGUUUGUGUUUCGAGUCCGUUGCCGUCGGGCAACGGCCGGCGAUAUUUUGUGAACGCGAAUAAUUAAUUGACUUGUGCAAAUAAAUAAACAUAUUUAUCUUCAGCAGUUGAGCAUGGACUAAUGUGAUACCUGUGUCUAUCAACCUGCUGUCGAUUUACCGUCUUCUAUAACUGCAAACGUGUUCGCAUUCGACAUGAGAAUUGUGUUUGUUUUGAUUACAAAGUUACACUUUCUUAUCGCCGUUCGAACAGCAACGUCCAAGAUUGCCGUGUGUUGUUGUUGCCAUCUUUUCACGUCUCGCUCUGCUGGUCUUCUAGUUUAGUAUACGCUAGUAAAGUAUCUACCUUAAGCGCCGCC